The submitters of this non-coding RNA (51 nucleotides) gave its source as unclassified sequences. The record is from Rfam.
CCCUGACAGUUGCAUGGUGCGACUGACUAACCCAGACAGGAGAUCGACAUG